UCGGGCGUAGUGCACGGAGCACACUCCUUUACUUUGCGUCGUAUGUAUGUUACAAGCGCAGGAGAGACCGGGUUCGACUCCCGGCGCCCGAG
Mycena galericulata is the source of this 92-nucleotide non-coding RNA. NCBI's taxonomy places the organism in Eukaryota, Fungi, Basidiomycota, Agaricomycetes, Agaricales, Mycenaceae. The record is from the annotation of a GenBank genome assembly.